This 285-nucleotide unclassified non-coding RNA is filed under the name Hevea brasiliensis (rubber tree). The record is from RNAcentral. Lineage: Eukaryota; Viridiplantae; Streptophyta; Magnoliopsida; Malpighiales; Euphorbiaceae.
ACCAUCUUGAAAAUUCCAACCACCUACAAACAAAAAGUAUUAGCCUAAACCUUUGCUUAAAGAAAAGAAAACAUAGAAUAAAGUUGAAUAUUUAAGUCAUGUUUUACAAACUUAACUUUACACUUUAUGGUGAUUGUUCAUAGAUAUUAAAAUUAUAAUGCCAUAUUCUCAAGUCUCCACCUAAGCACUUGCAUGUAUACAUACAUCCUCUAGCCCAAAUUAAGAUUUUUAAGUUUUUUAAUUUUUUUUCUAUAUGCAUAUAAAUAAGAGAGUUGCGGAGAUGAA